GGGGAAUAUUGGACAAUGGGCGAAAGCCUGAUCCAGCCAUCCCGCGCGGGUGAAGAAGGCCUUCGGGUUGCAAAGCCCUAUUGUUGGGAAAGAAAAGCAGCUGGCCAAUACCCGGUUGAUCUGACGGUGUCCUACGAAUAGGCACCGGCGAACUUCGCGCCAGCAGCCGCGGUAAUACGAAGGGUGCAAGCGUUACUCGGAAUUACUGGGCGUAAAGCGUGCGUAGGUGGUGGUUUAAGUCCGUUGUGAAAGCCCUGGGCUCAACCUGGGAACUGCAGUGGAUACUGGAUCACUAGAGUGUGGCAGAGGGUAGUGGAAUUCCCGGUGUAGCAGUGAAAUGCGUAGAGAUCGGGAGGAACAUCAGUGGCGAAGGCGACUGCCUGGGCCAACACUGACACUGAGGCACGAAAGCGUGGGGAGCAAACA
This 426-nucleotide ribosomal RNA is filed under the name uncultured Lysobacteraceae bacterium. RNAcentral describes it as "bacterial SSU rRNA". It matches the Rfam family "Bacterial small subunit ribosomal RNA", at positions 356 to 774 of the family's 1533-position model. The record is from RNAcentral. Lineage: Bacteria; Pseudomonadati; Pseudomonadota; Gammaproteobacteria; Lysobacterales; Lysobacteraceae.